CAGAGGGAUGCCCAGGAUGAGGUGAAGACGAUCCUGGAAAUCAGCCCAGAUGUGCAUGCACCAGCCCACGUGUGGCAGGACCAAGGGAAGUGUCUUCACAAAGAUGAGCCUUUGAUUUGUUGGAGAAACUGUUACCAGAAAAACAGGUCCCGAUCCUGACCUCAAAAGAGUAUUCUUGGAUCUUGCACAGGAAGGAAUUAAAGGUGAGUCACAGAGUAUAGUGAGAAGGAGAUAGUUUAUUGAAAGUUCCUCAGAUACAGAGUAGGUGUCCUCAGAAAACAAAAGGAAGAAUGCACCAUCUUUGUUGUAAACUCUUCUAAUAUAGGUGUUUAAUCUACAUAAAAGCUAAGUUAAAUGUCUGUAUGUGGGUGCUCUGACAGCAUGACAAAAUUUAGUACUUUGUUGAUUUAAAGAAAGUUAUCCUUGGCAUUUUAGUUAGUAUAUCAAAGCAUGACUAUAAUAAUCUUAAAAGCAUAUAUUAUAAUGUGAUGUCAGCACAUGUGGACAUUCUGUUGUCUGUCAUAGGCGUUUGUUCUUGCAGACAUUAUUAAAUUGUUUGUUCAGCUGUAAACCUCUUAUGACCAUGGGUUGUGACUGGCAAGGAAUAUGCCUUGCUAGUUGAAAGAUGGGGCUGACUUUAAAGUGGUGUCACCCUGGCUCUCCUAUGCUUCUGUUUCCCCAAAAAAGCCAGGUUACUUGUCCUGUAGAAUGAUCCACAUUCUGAGUUUGGCUAAUGCAGUCUCAUGGUAUUAACUUGUUUCUUUAUAUGUUGUAUUUUCUGUUACCCACAAAAUAAUUUUUCUGAUACACAUUUGUAAUCUUACGAUGCCAGCAUCUGCUACUCUUCAUGUUACCAAAUUUCUGUUCAAGGACCACUAAAGUCACAGUCAGUGGACAUUCUGAGACCUCUAGGGGAGGGUGGAGAUGCUGUCCUUUAAUAUAUUCUGACCCAAGCAACCUCCCCACUUGGCAUGGUGAAUCUAGACAAGCUAAAGAAUUUACUACACCCCAGGCCUGCACCAGCCCUCUCCUAAGACCUUGGGCACUCUCAUUUCCCUUUUUUUUUCCUAAAAGAAGUCAUAGUUUCUCAUAACCUUUGCUAGUGAUCCUGGACCGUGGUUGUUCCCUGAGGCUGUGUUCUCCACACUGCUGCCAUCACUGCUAGAGCAGAGGUGCAGAGAGCUCAGGAGAGAGAAGGGAGAAAAAGCUGAAGAUUUUGUGUUAAUCAUGCUUUCCUGACUCCAGUAAAAGUGCUUCCUCCACUUGCAACCAUUUCUGUUUCUAUACUGCUGAGUCUUGUGUUCCCAAGACCAAGGGAAGCCCAUUUUCUUUAAAGCCAGUCACAAUUUCUGUUGGCUGAUGGAAUAUCUGUUGUCCAGCAGUUGUGUUCCUGCUCACAAAUGCAAAACAGUUUGAUGCUGCACACAUUACAGGGCUUAGGCUGGAAAUGCUGUCCCUUGCCCCUUUGUUACCUUCUGACAGGGAUCAGUCCAUAGUGUAGUUGGUGUCACAACAGUCCCGAAGAAGCCUUCCAAUAGAUACCCAAAUGUGAUUCAAAGCAGCGCAGGCACACACCACGGUGCCACAUGGUGCCUAUGUAAAGCAGGUAUAUCAGGAAUGCUAAGCAGAAAAGUAGCAGAACACACUGAUCCCCAUGUUCUCAUUGUACAGUUGGGUGCAAUUAAGCUGGCACAAUGGACUCUUCUCAUGGCUACUGUUCCAGUAGUGUGGAUGCCCCCAAAUGCUGCAUAUUUACUAGGACAGCCAGGCAGAGACAGCUGUGUACUAUGAUACAACAGUAGUCCCUCUUAGAGGAAGUGACCUUGUUAGAAGUGGGAGUUUCUGAAGCCAGCUCUUCAGCUGUUACUGGCCUGCUCUUCCAUAGCGUCACUUCAGACCUGCUGGCCCAGCUAUCCACUCUGCCAACAGGUCUGUCUCUGCUAACAGAUCUAGCUCUGUCUCCUCAGUAAAUGUUCUAGGCUCUGACUGCAAGUGCUGACUUGGGCUCCCAGCCCCACACAGCCCCUCUGUUCCAUGAAAGGGCCAUCUAUGCAAAGUGCCCCCCAAAUGCCAAAGGAGCCAAUAAACCAAGGAACAAGACAGACAAAUCUAGUUUGUCGGUAAAGGGUGUUUUAUUGGGGAACUUACAGACAGAAGCGUGGUCUUGGAUGGCAGCAAGACAGGUAGGUUUCUGCACUUAUUACCCCCACACCCAGGGCUUAUAUACCACAGGGAAAGAGUAUACAUGCUCUGUGCAAGACAAAGGCUACUACUGUCCAGAACAGGCAAGAAUGCUAAUGUGUCAUAGCCUAGAAUUUGUAUAACAUCAAGGUUGACAUGUUCUUACAAUAGGGAUGGUAAAUAAAGUAGGAAUCAGGAGUCAGUCCUGGGACUCGGGCUAAUCAGAAGUCAGCAUAGAGAAUUAGCAUCCAAGAGGGAGUUACUUUUCUCUCUACGUCCCAGCCCUCUAAUCCAGCUCUUACAGUCUCAUGGAUUCACAUUUCCCCCGUGGUCUCUGAGUCUUCGGAGGAGGCUGUGGGUGACAUUUUGAGGGUGUGAGUGACACAUUUUAUCAAUUUGUUUUCUACCUGUUAAGCAGGGGCCACAGCAACAAUACGAACAACAGGCGAUGAUAUGUAUGCCAGGUGUAAGACACAGAAUUAAAAAUGCCCUUUACCACAUUUAUUCAGGAACCAAACCAAGAGGUAUAGAGCAGAACAGCAAUAGGAACAGAAGACUAUGGGUGGAAUUAAAAAUGUUUAGUAGGUAUUUGGUGGGGCAGUUCUUCCCCAUUAAACAGAAUGACUGGUAGCUCCAUCUCUGUUGGUUAGGACAUAGGAUUGUGGGCUGGGAGUACGUACCAAACAUGUUGCCUGAGGGGCAAAGGUGCUGAUAUUACCUGUAAGGUUACAGGGGCAGCAAAGGACCAUGUCAAAUGGCCAGCCAGGGUGCUUCUUAAAAGUGACUGUGUUCCAGUUUAUUGGUAUGUGGAGUGUUUUGGCCCAGACUUCAACAGGAUUGAUGGAGACCGCUUUAGUUGGUAGGGAAUUCCUUGCUGUCUGGAAAGAAAUGCUCUAUCCAACAUAGGGGAAGUUGCUAGUCCAACCCCCAUUCAAGUGUCUCCUCCCUGGCUCAAGAUCUUGGGGAGUCCUAAAUAAGCUUUGCCAUUGACCUUUUAUCUGCUCAGGUCAGAGAUGCAUCUGGUUGGGCUUUCUUUACUACAAUGGUUAACGGACCCGUCUCUAUGGUGGUCCUGAGUCAUUGGAGUGGUGCCAGCACCAUAUUUGUCUCAACCAAAUUAAGGUUUCUAAUGGCUUGAGGCAAAACCUUUGUCUAACUAUGAAAGAUAUUGGAUUUUGAGAGUGCUCAAAACUGUGCCUUCAAAAUACCACUUUUCCUUUCAAUCAACCCUGUUGCUUGGGGGAGUAUACAGUAAGUGAAAUAUCCAAUCUAUGUCCUUUUCAUACAUCCAGUCUUGGACACCAUGUCUGGUGAAAUGCAUGCCUCGGUUGCUAUCAAUGUGUGGAGAGUAUCCAUACAUGACACUGAGUUGCUCCAAGCCCCUGAUGGUGGCUGUUUGGUUUGCUCUUACAAGGGAAGGCUUGCAACAAUCCCAUGGCAAUGUAUACACAUGUUAGUGCAUACUUUUGUCUCAAGAUUACUGGCAGGGGUCUGAUGUAGUCUAUCUGCUAGUCUGUCACAGGGGCAGCUGUCUUAUGUAUAUAUCCAGGUGUAUGUGGGAUGUGGCAGAGGUACAGACGGGAACAAAUUAAGCAGUUUGCUACCAGCACCACUAAAUCUGCAUAGCAGGCAGCCAAUCCUGCUCCCUUUGCUAUUUGGCAGCCCAUUCAUGCACUGAAAUCCCCACUGUGAUAUGUGCCUAAUCAACUAGCUCAGUAUUCUAUUUUUUGCUAGGAUGUCUGCCUCCAUGUUUCUGGGAGGUGAAUCUGACCAGUGUGCUGAAGCAAUUAGGUCCACAGUGGGUUCCUGUAGACUUUUCCAAAUGUCUUUCCACAUACCAGCUCCCCAUAAGGAUUUUUAAAUUAUAAAACAAAUCAUCUUGGGCCCUUUGGGCAAGCCAAAUUGUAAGACCCUUAAGUACUGCCAGACUGUCUGUACAGAGAACUAUAGGCGGUGGCUCAUGGGUACAAACCAACCAUGCAGCUUGGAGUUCUGUCCAUUGACUGCUCUGUUGCAUUCCCAUCUCAAACCAGAUACUGUCUGUCUGUGGUUGUGCAGCUACUACUGUCCAUACACAGGGUUACCUUGGCUCGAUGCAUCUAAGUACCAAGCAUUAUCGGGAAUGAGGGCCAUGCCUUCAUGUACCAUUGGAGACAUCUCCUGUGGGGGCUCCACAAUAGGGGCAGCACUGGACUCAUAAUGUACUGGCCCUAAGAUAGCAUGCAGUUCAUCUCUUAAGAGACACAUGGAAAAGUCACUAUGUUGUUGCCUGUAUGCAUGGCACUUUUGUAAAGUGGAGACUUGGGCAAUAGCUGAUACAGGCCUGGCAAACACUCCUACCCAGUCCUUGAUAGGAGACCUGUUCUCCCUGGUACCAGGAAAGCAGCAGUUAUGGAUUCAACUUGUGGCAAGACCUUCCAUAUCCCCAGGACCUGUUGUUCAAUUGGGAAAUAACAGGUUUCAGUACCCUUCCAUAAUUGUGACUAAAAUCCUAAAGGAACUGCUUCCCUAUGCUGGACUUCAUAUUUUCAUCAUCCAAAAUUAUAGUUUAGUUUUACCUUUAAAAAUAUGUUUUUUGUUCUCAUUUGUUCCAUAGGUUUCUCCCUGAAAUUUAUAUUGUAUGGUAAGGUUUCCUAUUGUUUGCAUUUUGUGGAUUGCACGCCAAGGUGUGGUUUAAUGUAUUUCUAUUACCUGUAUUUUCUAUAAAUUGGUAGUUUGGUAUAGAGUUUUGUGUAUAUUCAGGUUUUUUUUUUUUUCUGUAAGUAUUGAUGGUUCUGUAAAAGGAAAAUAAAAUCUUGGGGCCCCAAAAUUACUAAGCUAAAGGGAAAAGUCAAGCUGGGAACUGCUUAGGGCAAACCUGCCUCCCAUCUAUUCAAAGUCACCCCUCUGCUCACUGAGAUAAACGCAUGUCUGAUUGCCUCAUUUGGAAAGGCUAAUCAGAAACUCAAAAGAAUGCAACCAUUUGUCUCUCAUCUACCUGUGACCUGGAAACCCGUCCUUGCUUCGAGUUGCCCCACCUUUCCAGACUGAAUCAAUGUUCAUCUUACAUAUGUUGAUCACUGUCUCAUAUCCCCUUAAAAUGUAUAAAGCCAAGUUGUGCUCUGACCGCCAAAAGUGGCUGGGAAGUGACACCAAAGAUCAUAGUGGCAUAAGAACUCCAAGGACCUCCCCUCCACAGCGGCAAUGUGCUUGUUGAAACCAGUAUUAAAAAAUCUCAAUGAGAGCUGUGAUUGGAUUUAGCGUUGACAUAUCUUUUUAAAUUGUGGUAAAACAUACAUACUGUAUAAUUUGCCUUCUAAACAUUUUUCCAGUGUACAAUUUGGUGGCAUUAAGCAUAUUUACAGUGUUGUGUAACCACCACCAAUAUCCAUUUCCAGAACAUUUUUAUCAUCCCAAACAUAAACCAUAAAACCAUAAAAACAUAAAACAUAAACCCAUUAAACCAUAACUGCCCAUUCUCCCUACCCCCAGCCCCUGGUAACCUCUAUUCUACUUUCUGUUUCUAUGAAUUAGCUUAUCUAGCUACCUCAUAUAAGUAAAAUGUUAUAUUUGUUUUUUAUUUCUGGCUUAUUUCACUUAAAGAGUUUUCAAGCUUAUCCAAUCAGAAUUUUAUUCAUUUUUAAGGCUGAAUAAUAUUCCAUGCGUAUGUGCACCGUGGGUUGUUUAUCCAAUCAUCUGCUGAUGGACACUCAGUUGCUUCCACCUUUUGGGUAUUGGGAACAGUGCUGCUAUGGGCCUGAGUGUACAAAUAUCUGUGUGAGUUCCUGCUUUCAAUUCUUUUGGGUGUGCCCAAAAGUGGAAUUGUUGGCUCAUAUAGUAAUUCUAUUUUUACUUUCUUGAUGAACCACUAUACUGUUUUCUAUGGUGGCUGCACUACUGUACACUCUCACCAGCAGUGCACAAGUGUUCCAAUUUCUCCAUAUCUUCACCAACACUUGGCCUAGUGAAGUUUACCAUAGUUUUAUAUCCUUAUUGGCGUUCCUUUUUUUUUUUUGAGACGGAGUCUUGCUCUGUUGCCAGGCUGGAGUGCAGUGGCACAAUCUCGGCUUGCUGCAACCUCCGCCUCCCAGGUUCAAGUGAUUCUCCUACCUCAGCCUCCCAAGUAGCUGGGACUACAGGUGCAUGCCACCAUGCCCAACUAAUAUUUGUAUUUUUUUAGUAGAGAUGGGGUUUCACCAUGUUGGCCAGGAUAGUCUUGAUCUCUUGACCUUGUGAUCCACCCGCCUCGGCCUCCCAAAGUACUGGGAUUACAGGCAUGAGCCACCAUGCCUGACCAGCAUUCCUUAUUUUUAUGUCCUUAUUGUAUAUCUUCUUUGGAGAAUUGUCUAUUCAUGUCUUUUACCCAUUUUUGAAUGAGAUUGUUUUGCUAUUGUUAAAUUGUAGUUCUUUACAUACUCUGGAUAUUAAUUCUUUAUCAGAUAUGUGAUUGGCAAAUAUUUCCUACUAGUCUGUGCAUUUUCUUUUAACUCUCUUAAUAGUGUCCUUUGAUGCAAAAAAGUUUUUAAAUUUUGAUGCAGUCUUAUUUGUCAUUUUUCUUAUAUUACUUGUACUAUUGGUCACCAGCCAAGAAACCACUACCAAUUCUAAUGUCCAUAAGAUUUUCCUCAGUAUUUUCUUGAGGGUUUUACAGGUUCAAUUCUUAAGGUUAGUUAUUUGAGUCAUUCUGACUUAAUUUUUGAAAAGGGUGUAAUGGAAGGGCAUGAAUUUUGUCCAGCGUCAUUCUUUUGCAUGUGGAUAUCCAGGUUUCCAGCACCAUUUGUUGAUGCGCCAUGUGUUGCAGUGGGGCUGACACAUUUGUAAGAUGCAGUGAGCACUAAUACAUGGGAACACCAUGCAUUUAUUUACCUGUCUUUCCUCCACAGUUGUUUUGAGAAGGCUUUCACUGACAAACUCAACAGAAAUGAAUAUAUAUGACUUCUUAUAAAAUCAUAUUCAAGUAAAAUUAUAAAUUUUAAAAUGUUAAGACUAGAGCAAGACUGGAACAUCACUAGACAAGGUGAAACAUAGGCUGAAAUGAAUGAUUUAUGUUUACCUUGCUACAAAUUUUGUUGGCCCACAAUCUCUUAUGCUUAUUGCUUAAGAGAGCUACAGAGUGGGGUGAUAGCUCACAUAACCAGUCCCUGGUUUUCUGCUUCAGAAAGAAGUUUAAAUUUUCUGCUUAGAGUAAGGAAAUUAACUGAAAGAUGUCUAAUGUGAAGUUGGCAUCUACAAAGUGAAGGAGUGAGUAGUAAAUGUAAACAUCAGGAAUCCAAGGAGAUUCUAUCUUUUUACACAGAAAUGGCCUCACUGUGCACUGCUGAAGGGAGAAGGUCCCUUCAGGGGACCUUCAUGAUGAAGAAGAACACAAUAUGAUGUAGGGGUUUUCUGCUGCAGCCCUAAAUUAAAUUGUCCUUCUCUCUAACUACAGGUCUCACAAAGUUUUAUAGCUUCAAUGAUUUCACCUGGGCCAAGAUUUUGGUUUUUUUUUUGAUGUUGUUUGUUUGAACUGCUGCCUGGGGCUUAGAAAAGUGACUUGGAUAUUUUGUCAAAAUGGUAUUUCUUUGAUGGAAUGUGAAAUCCGCAAACACUCUGCUUUCCUCCUGUAUCCCCAGAGCGGGUUGAGUACCUUGCACUUCUUCUCAGCACUUCACUAGAAGUGGUAGAAGAUUUGGAGUUAGGGCCUCCCUCAAUCUGUACCCUUUCUUUAAUUCAGAGGAUCACAAGCUGUUGGGGGAAAAGUGGUAUCUUGGGCCUCCAGUUGAUCUGAUGAAUAUUAAUAUCCAAUGUCCUGUAAUGAAGUCAUGUGUGCAUGUAACAUCACUUCUGCAUGCAGUGUCAUAGGAAAGUGGGUUCGCGGAUCCCAGGUUAAGAGCCUAAACACUAAAGGCACAGAGCUAGAGCUCUAGGAGGGGAGGGAUGGCUGGGGUGGAAUGUCAUCUUGUCCUUUAGUCCUGGGGCCUUUUCAUUCCUCACAUGGUGGGUGCUGGGCAUCUGGCAGGUACUGAUGUUGAUGGAGUUGAGGGAGGGAACUGGCCGGAACUGGGAAAAACAGGGUUGGAGAGAUAAUUAAGGUGGACAUUAUUUUUUCUGAGCGUAAAUCAUGGCUGGAAAUCUGGAGAGCCUGAAGGAGAUCCCGCUACCCAAACCUGUUUUUUGCUUUUCCCUCAAGCCUCAUUUGGCCACAGGCCCAGCGUCAACACCAGGGGGCGCCCACAGACCAUGAAGGCGCCGCGCAGCUGGGAUUGUUUGUGGUGGACUCCUGGGUCCCUGACUUAACCAGGGGAGCCAAGACCCUGCAGCCAAGUGGUCUGGAUUCAACCUGCAGCUCAGGUCCUACUGACACUUCUCCCCCUGGUGCCUCAGUUUCUUAAUCUGUGGAAUGGUGAGGACAUUACAGCAUUUACCUCUGGGAUGGGUUUCUCAACAGCAGCACUAUUAACAAUUUGGGACAGAGAAUCCCUUGUGGAGUGGUCUGUCCUGUGCAUUGUGGGAGGUUUGCCAGCAGCACCCCACUCACCCCCUCCCACCAAUCCCCAUGUGACAACCGAAAAUGUCCCAGGAUUUUUAGGUCUCCCUUGGGUCUGGAAGCUGCACUUAGGCAUUUUCCCACCUGACACUUGAGCUCAUCUCUGCUUUGGUCCACUUAAGGCCACUUCAAAAAAAUGUUGUUUCUUUAAAGAUUCUAUCCAUCUUUUAAACAAAUCCAUUUUCUUCCUCUAUUUCUGCAUUCAGUUAAUCCUUCCAAACCCUUUGUUUAGUAUGUCUUGAAAUGUAUCAAUUCCAGUUCUAGUAAUUAGUGUGUCUAACUUGCAUGAUAUCUGCUAUGACUCCUAGUAGAGCUCUGAUUCCUUUAGCACAGGGAAUGUGUUCUCGAUUCUGCUCUGGAUGAUGUAAAUCAAUUUAUUUUACUUUACUUGUCUGGGAUGUUGCUCCUCAUCUGUAAGAUGUAAAUGUGGACAUGGCUUGGAUUACUAGGUGGUUUUAUUUCUUCAUUCACCUGACGUUUGUUGUGUACCUGAUGCAAGUCAAAUACAUGGCAUGGUAUUGUUUCCUUGAUCACACCACAGCAAGUGAGAAAAUGAGACAUUAUAGCCAGGUGUGGCGGCACAGGCUUGUUGUCCUAGCUACUCGGAAGGCUGAGGCAGGAGAAUUGCUUCAGCCCAGGAGUUUGAGGUUACAGUAAGGUAUGAUAUCACCAUUGCAUUUCAGCCUGGACAACAGACCCUGUCUCUGAAAAAAGGGGAAAAGACAUUGGGAGCUGUCUACAUGUACUCUAUGUCUCAGGAGACUCAUGUCCUGUAAUUUUUCUAAAUGGCAUCUCCAUGUGGUUUUUCAUGAAUGUUUGUCUGGUAUUUCUUCUCUAUCCUUUUACUUUCAACUUUUCUGUACAUUCUACUGAAAUUAUGGCUUUUAUAAACAGCCUAUGAUUAUUUAUUUACUUAUUUAUUUUUACCCCCCUGCACUAUUUGUCUUGUAAUUAGAGUGUCUGAGUCCAUUAUGUUUAAUGUAAUUAUUGACCUCAUUGGGUUUAAGUCUGUACAUUGUCAUUUUCUGCCUUCUAAUAUUAUCUCUUUCUUGCUCAACUAUUUUUCUUAUGUUACCUUCUUUAUAUGAAUAAAAAACUUUGCAUUGUUG
Molecule: small RNA, 9795 nt
Filed under: Pongo abelii (Sumatran orangutan)
Lineage: Eukaryota; Metazoa; Chordata; Mammalia; Primates; Hominidae
Description: processed transcript
Source: RNAcentral